UCCCCUCCACUUUCCUCCUAG
RNAcentral lists this microRNA (21 nucleotides) under Homo sapiens (human). RNAcentral describes it as "hsa-miR-6887-3p". The record is from miRBase by way of RNAcentral. Lineage: Eukaryota; Metazoa; Chordata; Mammalia; Primates; Hominidae.